GACUUAUGGGUGCCGUAUUUAUGUUAUGUAAUCUUGUGUUGUGCUUUACUAUGUGUUUGUGUGGUAUCUCGUGCCUUGAGCCGGGGGUCUAUCGGAAACAGCCUUUCUACUUCUUUAGAGGUAGAGGUAUGGACUGCGUACAUCUUACCCCCCAAGACCCCACUAGGUGGGAAUACACUGGGUUUGUUGUUGUUGUUGU
RNAcentral lists this long non-coding RNA (199 nucleotides) under Capsicum annuum. RNAcentral's name for it is "long non-coding RNA (CANN_LNC013024)". The record is from RNAcentral. Lineage: Eukaryota; Viridiplantae; Streptophyta; Magnoliopsida; Solanales; Solanaceae.